RNAcentral lists this ribosomal RNA (609 nucleotides) under uncultured Lachnospiraceae bacterium. RNAcentral's name for it is "bacterial SSU rRNA". It matches the Rfam family "Bacterial small subunit ribosomal RNA", at positions 70 to 700 of the family's 1533-position model. Lineage: Bacteria; Bacillati; Bacillota; Clostridia; Lachnospirales; Lachnospiraceae. The record is from RNAcentral.
GGGACUGAUUAUUUUGUGACUGAGUGGCGGACGGGUGAGUAACGCGUGGGUAACCUGCCUUGUACAGGGGGAUAACAGUUGGAGACGGCUGCUAAUACCGCAUAAGCGCACGGCAUCGCAUGAUGCAGUGUGAAAAACUCCGGUGGUAUAAGAUGGACCCGCGUUGGAUUAGCUAGUUGGUGAGGUAACGGCCCACCAAGGCGACGAUCCAUAGCCGACCUGAGAGGGUGACCGGCCACAUUGGGACUGAGACACGGCCCAAACUCCUACGGGAGGCAGCAGUGGGGAAUAUUGCACAAUGGGCGAAAGCCUGAUGCAGCGACGCCGCGUGAGCGAAGAAGUAUUUCGGUAUGUAAAGCUCUAUCAGCAGGGAAGAUAAUGACGGUACCUGACUAAGAAGCACCGGCUAAAUACGUGCCAGCAGCCGCGGUAAUACGUAUGGUGCAAGCGUUAUCCGGAUUUACUGGGUGUAAACGGGAGCGCAGGCGGUGCGGCAAGUCUGAUGUGAAAGCCCGGGGCUCAACCCCGGUACUGCAUUGGAACUGUCGUACUAGAGUGUCGGAGGGGUAAGCGGAAUUCCUAGUGUAGCGGUGAAUGCGUAGAUAUUAG